UCCAGGGUAGCCUACAUGGCAUCUGCCCGGUAAGCGGAACAUUGUGGGUUCGAUUCCCAUCCCUGGAC
Molecule: transfer RNA, 68 nt
Filed under: Cordylochernes scorpioides
Lineage: Eukaryota; Metazoa; Arthropoda; Arachnida; Pseudoscorpiones; Chernetidae
Description: tRNA-Thr
Rfam family: tRNA
About the family: Transfer RNA (tRNA) molecules are approximately 80 nucleotides in length. Their secondary structure includes four short double-helical elements and three loops (D, anti-codon, and T loops).
Source: RNAcentral